Molecule: transfer RNA, 88 nt
Filed under: Magnaporthiopsis poae ATCC 64411
Lineage: Eukaryota; Fungi; Ascomycota; Sordariomycetes; Magnaporthales; Magnaporthaceae
Description: Magnaporthe poae ATCC 64411 tRNA-Tyr for anticodon GUA
Rfam family: tRNA
About the family: Transfer RNA (tRNA) molecules are approximately 80 nucleotides in length. Their secondary structure includes four short double-helical elements and three loops (D, anti-codon, and T loops). Further hydrogen bonds mediate the characteristic L-shaped molecular structure. tRNAs have two regions of fundamental functional importance: the anti-codon, which is responsible for specific mRNA codon recognition, and the 3' end, to which the tRNAs corresponding amino acid is attached (by aminoacyl-tRNA synthetases). tRNAs cope with the degeneracy of the genetic code in two manners: having more than one tRNA (with a specific anti-codon) for a particular amino acid; and 'wobble' base-pairing, i.e. permitting non-standard base-pairing at the 3rd anti-codon position.
Source: RNAcentral
CUCUCCUUGGUGUAGUUGGUUUAUCACGUUCGACUGUAAUUGUCAAAUUUUUAUCGAAAGGUCCCUAGUUCGAUUCUGGGAGGGGAGA